CUACGGGUUGCUGCAGUGGGGGAUAUUGCACAAUGGGGGAAACCCUGAUGCAGCAACGCCGCGUGAAGGAAGACGGUUUUCGGAUUGUAAACUUCUAUCAGCAGGGAAGAAAUUGACGGUACCUGACUAAGAAGCCCCGGCUAACUACGUGCCAGCAGCCGCGGUAAUACGUAGGGGGCAAGCGUUAUCCGGAUUUACUGGGUGUAAAGGGUGCGUAGGCGGUUAUUUAAGUCAGAUGUGAAAGCCCGAGGCUCAACCUCGGGACUGCAUUUGAAACUGGAUAACUAGAGUACAGGAGAGGAAAGCGGAAUUCCUAGUGUAGCGGUGAAAUGCGUAGAUAUUAGGAAGAACACCAGUGGCGAAGGCGGCUUUCUGGACUGUAACUGACGCUGAGGCACGAAAGCGUGGGGAGCGAACAGGAUUAGAUACCCCGGUAGUC
RNAcentral lists this ribosomal RNA (439 nucleotides) under uncultured bacterium. Its description in RNAcentral is "partial 16S ribosomal RNA". It matches the Rfam family "Bacterial small subunit ribosomal RNA", at positions 339 to 795 of the family's 1533-position model. The record is from RNAcentral.